Molecule: long non-coding RNA, 588 nt
Organism: Dendrobium catenatum
Lineage: Eukaryota; Viridiplantae; Streptophyta; Magnoliopsida; Asparagales; Orchidaceae
Exons: 3
Source: RefSeq, a predicted model, not a curated record
UCCCCUCUCUACUUUCUAUUAACUCAACUUGCUCAAGAGAUCGUCUCGUGGCCUCGGAAGACUCUUCCCGUUCAGGCGAACGGCUCCUGAUGCUGAAGAAGGUUUUGCAUUCAAACUCAAUAAGGCUUUGCAAGAGGGUUAAGUGAUGGGUUAUCUAAGAUUGUCAAAUCCAAAGGAAUCUCAGAAAUGGGCAGUUGAUCUUAAUGAAGCUGCAUGCCAAAGUCUAAUGUCAAAUCAUCCAGAAGUUCUGGUAAGCUUCAUGUCCAUGUACGACAGAAGUUAAGCUUUCAUUCGAUAAUCUUAUAAGGACUUAAGAAUUAUGCUUGCUUGAAUAGAUUAGGAAUGAGAAGGUUGAUGACAUUCUAGAGUUAUUGAAUGAAUGGAGUAUCAUAGAGAUAUUUUAAAAUUUGUCAUUUAAUUUAUGUUCUCUCUAAGAUUUCUUUCUUUCUUGUAUUGAACUAAUCUCCUUCUCACGAUGCUAUUUCCUCCUUGUAGAGAAUUCAUAGCCUAGCUGUAGCUGCAUAUGCGCUUGUUUGAGAUAAGUUUACUUAAUAGAGUUCGAGAUAAACAACCCUUCUACUUUAUCAA